RNAcentral lists this ribosomal RNA (254 nucleotides) under uncultured bacterium. RNAcentral describes it as "partial 16S ribosomal RNA". It matches the Rfam family "Bacterial small subunit ribosomal RNA", at positions 524 to 776 of the family's 1533-position model. The record is from RNAcentral.
GACGUAGGGCGCGAGCGUUGUCCGGAUUUAUUGGGCGUAAAGAGCUCGUAGGCGGCUUGUCGCGUCGAAUGUGAAAACCCACAGCUCAACUGUGGGCUUGCAUUCGAUACGGGCAGGCUAGAGUUCGGUAGGGGAGACGUGGAAUUCCUGGUGUAGCGGUGAAAUGCGCAGAUAUCAGGAGGAACACCGGUGGCGAAGGCGGCUUGCUGGGCCAGUUCUGACGCUGAGGAGCGAAAGCGUGGGGAGCGAACAGG